This 548-nucleotide ribosomal RNA is filed under the name uncultured Bacillus sp. RNAcentral describes it as "bacterial SSU rRNA". It matches the Rfam family "Bacterial small subunit ribosomal RNA", at positions 338 to 874 of the family's 1533-position model. The record is from RNAcentral. Lineage: Bacteria; Bacillati; Bacillota; Bacilli; Caryophanales; Bacillaceae.
CCUACGGGGGAGGCAGCAGUAGGGAAUCUUCCGCAAUGGACGAAAGUCUGACGGAGCAACGCCGCGUGAGUGAUGAAGGCUUUCGGGUCGUAAAACUCUGUUGUUAGGGAAGAACAAGUGCUAGUUGAAUAAGCUGGCACCUUGACGGUACCUAACCAGAAAGCCACGGCUAACUACGUGCCAGCAGCCGCGGUAAUACGUAGGUGGCAAGCGUUAUCCGGAAUUAUUGGGCGUAAAGCGCGCGCAGGUGGUUUCUUAAGUCUGAUGUGAAAGCCCACGGCUCAACCGUGGAGGGUCAUUGGAAACUGGGAGACUUGAGUGCAGAAGAGGAAAGUGGAAUUCCAUGUGUAGCGGUGAAAUGCGUAGAGAUAUGGAGGAACACCAGUGGCGAAGGCGACUUUCUGGUCUGUAACUGACACUGAGGCGCGAAAGCGUGGGGAGCAAACAGGAUUAGAUACCCUGGUAGUCCACGCCGUAAACGAUGAGUGCUAAGUGUUAGAGGGUUUCCGCCCUUUAGUGCUGAAGUUAACGCAUUAAGCAUUCCGCCU